GAUCCUGACUCAGGAUGAACGCUAGCUACAGGCUUAACACAUGCAAGUCGAGGGGCAGCGGGGAAGUCAGCUUGCUGACUUUGCCGGCGACCGGCGCACGGGUGAGUAACACGUAUCCAACCUUCCCGUUACUCUGGAAUAGCCUUUCGAAAGAAAGAUUAAUACCGGAUAGUAUCGAGAGAUUGCAUGAUUACCCGAUUAAAGAUUCAUCGGUAACGGAUGGGGAUGCGUUCCAUUAGGCAGUUGGG
RNAcentral lists this ribosomal RNA (248 nucleotides) under uncultured bacterium. RNAcentral describes it as "partial 16S ribosomal RNA". It matches the Rfam family "Bacterial small subunit ribosomal RNA", at positions 15 to 253 of the family's 1533-position model. The record is from RNAcentral.